GCUGGGCACAGUGGUGCAUUCCUGUAAUCCCAGCUGCUCAGGAGGCUGAGGCAGGAGGAUCACAAGUUCAAAGCCAGCCUCAGCAACAGUGAGACACUAAGCAACUCAGUGAGACCCUGUCUCUA
This 125-nucleotide small RNA is filed under the name Marmota monax (woodchuck). Lineage: Eukaryota; Metazoa; Chordata; Mammalia; Rodentia; Sciuridae. The record is from RNAcentral.